CAGGCACACAGUCUCCCCGUGCCCCUGCAAGUGCCAGCUGCAGGCUGGUGCYGAGUGCAAGUCCAAGACUGUACAGAUCAGCCUGGGGGUUGCUUCCAUAUUUUCUUUUGCUUUCAAUCCCGAGGUCUGGGCUUUGGCUACGUUUCUAUCCUAGACUCUGCCUGCUAACCACAUCACCCUUAACUUGUGACAAACCUGCAUGUCAYCUUUUUUUUUUCUAGAGCAGUACUGCAGUUCUUUGAAAAAAUGAAGACCUCUACAAGUACUUGUAACGACGUGCUCCAUGAACGAGUUUGUUCUCAGUCACCGCUCGGCUCAUGCGUAGGAUGACAGUGUAUCUAUGGAAGGAAGUCUCCUAAAUAAGACCAGAGAUGUUACUCCAUUCCAUUCCCGUUGCCUGGAAUCCCCAUGAACAUUAUGGAGGAAGAAGUGUCUCCGGCAAACCAGCAAUAUGUCCACUUCUGGAUUCAGAUGGAACAACUGAAAACUAUCAUCCCUGGCUGAAAAUUACUACACACACAAUUUUCUCUGCAUCAUGGAAAGUAUGAUAGCUCCCUGGGCCACCWCAGUACAAAGUCAGCCAGGAUAGCUCAAACACCCUUCAUCGAUUAAAGCUAAGGSAACCAAGUUUGCACUAAAGAAUGUCC
This 647-nucleotide long non-coding RNA is filed under the name Dromaius novaehollandiae (emu). Its description in RNAcentral is "lncRNA (ENSDNVG00000004697.1)". Lineage: Eukaryota; Metazoa; Chordata; Aves; Casuariiformes; Dromaiidae. The record is from RNAcentral.